GUUUCAACAAAGGCAACAAUUCCCGAGAAGAGGAUGUCUGGAAAAAGUUUCAAAAUGAGGUCUGAACACAAAGCUCCUGUAAUAGGGGAGUCCCUCUACCUGUGGGCAGGGAACCAGGUUGACUUACCUAAAGUUCAUGACUCCCUUCAAAAGAG
Molecule: long non-coding RNA, 155 nt
Organism: Amphimedon queenslandica
Lineage: Eukaryota; Metazoa; Porifera; Demospongiae; Haplosclerida; Niphatidae
Exons: 2
Source: RefSeq, a predicted model, not a curated record